UCAUUGGCGGGCUCCGCUUUCGUGGUCUUGCUAUGGGAUCUUGCACUAGAUUCUGGACCACGGGAAGCACUGAAGUAGUGAUAAAACAGAGCAUUUGUCUGAGAGACAGGCUCUAACCCUGCAGGAGUCUUUGGGCCUCUAACUCGUGCUCUUUCCCACAUCCCGCCCCCCAGCUCCAUCACAUUUCUCCCCUCCGACUUUGGUGAAAAAAGUUUGGCGACUUGAGCUGCUGUUGCUUCUCCUGGGCAGAAGCAUUUUGGUGGAGGUGUACUGGGUUCUGCCAUGGCUACGUCUCCUGGGAACUAAACACAUGUGACUCUGCUAGCCGUCACCAGGUUCCAGAUGCCAUCAGGAUGCUGGCCAGGCUUCCCUGGACUGAAGACCCCACCAAUGAGUCCUGGAGCUCCGCUUCCCCAGAGACCCACCCUACUAGGGAAAG
Erinaceus europaeus (western European hedgehog) is the source of this 439-nucleotide long non-coding RNA. RefSeq lists it as uncharacterized. The record is from RefSeq and is a predicted model, not a curated record. The transcript has 3 exons. Lineage: Eukaryota; Metazoa; Chordata; Mammalia; Eulipotyphla; Erinaceidae.